Molecule: non-coding RNA, 365 nt
Organism: Cinara cedri
Lineage: Eukaryota; Metazoa; Arthropoda; Insecta; Hemiptera; Aphididae
Source: the annotation of a GenBank genome assembly
AACAAUAACAAUACGGCGCGCCGCCGUUCCGGCCCCGGAGACGAUGGAAACCAAAUUACCGUCGUCGUCGUCGCCGCCGCCGAUGACGAUGGCGCGAAGCUCGCCGGAACAACCAGAGUGAAGGGCGAAUGUAAGACGUCUUCUCGGGCGACGAGGAACACACGGACCCCGAACAAAACGUACAUACCGACAAUUGAAGUUUGAAUUCACUAUAUCGGGACACGGAUAUAACGCCGGUGAACCGACGGCCCCGGACCGUGACGGACUGCAGGAUUAUCGACUUUAUACCACGGUGGUUGGUGAGCCAAUGUGACUUUUUUCCGAUACCUGAUAUUCGAAUAUCGAUACCGAUAAAAACCGUCAGG